This 932-nucleotide non-coding RNA is filed under the name Ichthyophis glutinosus (Ceylon caecilian). Lineage: Eukaryota; Metazoa; Chordata; Amphibia; Gymnophiona; Ichthyophiidae. The record is from RNAcentral.
AUAAGUUUUGUCCUGGCUUUAAAGUCAACUAUAACCUAUAUUACACAUGCAAGCAUCCGCAAACCAGUGAGAAAGCCCAAAACAACCUAGGAGCUGAUAUCAGGCACAACAAAAGUUAGCCAAUAACAUCUAGCUCAUGCCACUCCCCCAAGGGUAUAACAGCAGUGAUAAACAUUAGUAAAUGAGCACACAAACUCGAACUAGACAUGGCCAAUUAGGGUUGGCUAAUCUCGUGCCAGCCGCCGCGGUUAUACGAGAAACCCAAGUUGACAACCUACGGCAUAAAGUGUGAUAACGAAUAAGUCCACAUCAUAAGACUGAAGCCAAACUAAACUGUCACACGUAUUAGUAAGCAAUAAACCCAAUUACACAAAAGUAGUCUUAAUUUUAAGACCUUUCAUCAUCACGACCGCUAAGACACAAACUGGGAUUAGAUACCCCACUAUGCUUAGCUACAAACUGAACUACAUUUCCACCAGAACACUACGAGUAAACACUUAAAAAUCAAAGGACUUGGCGGUGCUCAAAAUCUAUCCAGAGGAGCCUGUUCUAUAAUCGAUAAUCCACGCUAAACCUUACCACUCUUUGCCAAACAGCCUAUAUACCACCGUCUACAGCUUACCCUACUGAAGGAUAACAAGUGAGCAAAAUAAACCUACUAAAAACGUCAGGUCAAGGUGUAGCAUAUAGAGUGGCAAGAAAUGGGCUACAUUUUCUUAUUAAGAAAAAACGAAAAAGAAAAUGAAAAAUUUCUUAGAAGGCGGAUUUGGCAGUAAAAAGAAACAAUCAAGUUCUUUUUAACACAGCCCUUGAGCGCGCACACACCGCCCGUCACCCUCAUCAACUUAAUCAACUUACUUAAUAAAACAUAAUGCAUAAACAGAAGAGGAAAGUCGUAACAUGGUAAGCGUACUGGAAAGUGCUCUUGGAAU